UACAGAGGGUGCAAGCGUUAAUCGGAAUUACUGGGCGUAAAGCGUGCGUAGACGGUUGUGUAAGUCGGGUGUGAAAGCCCCGGGCUCAACCUGGGAAUGCCAUUCGAGACUGCAUAGCUAGGGUGCGGAAGAGGGAAGCGGAAUUUCCGGUGUAGCGGUGAAAUGCGUAGAUAUCGGAAGGAACACCAGUGGCGAAAGCGGCUUCCUGGUCCAGCACCGACGUUCAGGCACGAAAGCGUGGGGAGCAAACAGG
This 253-nucleotide ribosomal RNA is filed under the name uncultured bacterium. RNAcentral describes it as "partial 16S ribosomal RNA". It matches the Rfam family "Bacterial small subunit ribosomal RNA", at positions 524 to 776 of the family's 1533-position model. The record is from RNAcentral.